GAUGAACGCUGGCGGCGUGCCUAAUACAUGCAAGUCGAGCGAACAGACGAGGAGCUUGCUCCUCUGACGUUAGCGGCGGACGGGUGAGUAACACGUGGAUAACCUACCUAUAAGACUGGGAUAACUUCGGGAAACCGGAGCUAAUACCGGAUAAUAUAUUGAACCGCAUGGUUCAAUAGUGAAAGACGGUUUUGCUGUCACUUAUAGAUGGAUCCGCGCCGCAUUAGCUAGUUGGUAAGGUAACGGCUUACCAAGGCGACGAUGCGUAGCCGACCUGAGAGGGUGAUCGGCCACACUGGAACUGAGACACGGUCCAGACUCCUACGGGAGGCAGCAGUAGGGAAUCUUCCGCAAUGGGCGAAAGCCUGACGGAGCAACGCCGCGUGAGUGAUGAAGGUCUUCGGAUCGUAAAACUCUGUUAUUAGGGAAGAACAAAUGAGUAAGUAACUAUGCACGUCUUGACGGUACCUAAUCAGAAAGCCACGGCUAACUACGUG
RNAcentral lists this ribosomal RNA (497 nucleotides) under uncultured bacterium. Its description in RNAcentral is "partial 16S ribosomal RNA". It matches the Rfam family "Bacterial small subunit ribosomal RNA", at positions 28 to 507 of the family's 1533-position model. The record is from RNAcentral.